Molecule: long non-coding RNA, 554 nt
Filed under: Helianthus annuus (common sunflower)
Lineage: Eukaryota; Viridiplantae; Streptophyta; Magnoliopsida; Asterales; Asteraceae
Source: RNAcentral
CUUUAAGUGUGUGUUUUGGUCGUGAAUCGCAGGAGAGCCAGGGGGUUCCAUGCCCAAACCCUAGCCAGCAAAAAUCAAGCAAUUGAGAAGCCAAAUCGACUCCAAAUUGAAAUCUAAGCUUGGAUUAGUGAUCACUUCAGUGAAAGGAUCAUAAGUUUGUCGCCUAACGAGCUAGGUGGAGGCUUGGGAUAGAAGCGGUCAAACGAAUCAAGUACGAGAAGAAAAGCAUAUUCGGAUGCGAGGAAAUAACAUAAGUAUGCGUUGCUUAAACUAGAAAGCUUUAAAGCAAAAGUUAUGUAAACGGGUCAAUACCUUGACCCGAGCCAGGUACACUUUGGGAUGCCGGAAGACGAUCAAGCUCAACGAAGAACCGAACACACUAUAGAUACACGCUUCCGCACUUUGCUAUGUUGUAAAUUUUAAACAACGAAUUCAACUACGUGAUGUAGAAUAACUUAUGAUUUGUAAAAGUUUUAGUAAACCCGUAUUUUCGAUGUAUAUGUAAUUGUAAUUACAUGAUUGUUUUCGAAUAAGAUUCAUUAAACCUUAAAUUA